RNAcentral lists this ribosomal RNA (253 nucleotides) under uncultured bacterium. RNAcentral's name for it is "partial 16S ribosomal RNA". It matches the Rfam family "Bacterial small subunit ribosomal RNA", at positions 524 to 776 of the family's 1533-position model. The record is from RNAcentral.
UACAGAGGGGGCAAGCGUUGUUCGGAAUUACUGGGCGUAAAGGGCGCGUAGGCGGCCUUCUAAGUCGAACGUGAAAUCCCUGGGCUCAACCCAGGAACUGCGUCCGAUACUGGAAGGCUUGAAUCCGGGAGAGGGAUGCGGAAUUCCAGGUGUAGCGGUGAAAUGCGUAGAUAUCGAGAGGAACACCUGCGGCGAAGGCGGGUUGCUGGGCUGAUACUGACGCUGAGGCGCGAAAGCCAGGGGAGCGAACGGG